CGAACGCUGGCGGCGUGGAUAGGGCAUGCAAGUCGAACGCGAAAGAGGGGGCAACUCCUCGAGUAGAGUGGCGAACGGGUGAGUAACGCGUGAAGAACCUGCCUUCAACAGGGGGAUAACACUCCCAACGGGGUGCUAAUACCGCAUAAGACCACGGAUUCGCAUGGAUCCGAGGUAAAAGGUGGCCUCUGCUUGCAAGCUACCGGUUGAAGAUGGCUUCGCGUCCCAUUAGCUAGUUGGCGGUGUAAAAGACCACCAAGGCGACGAUGGGUAGCUGGUCUGAGAGGAUGGUCAGCCACACUGGGACUGAGAUACGGCCCAGACUCCUACGGGAGGCAGCAGUCGAGAGGCUUCGGCAAUGGGGGAAACCCUGACCGAGCGACGCCGCGUGGAGGAUGAAGGCCUUUGGGUUGUAAACUCCUUUUGUUGGGGAAGAAAUGCGAUCAGGUGAAUAAUCUGGUCGUUUGACGGUACCCGACGAAUAAGCUCCGGCUAACUCCGUGCCAGCAGCCGCGGUAACACGGGGGGAGCAAGCGUUGUUCGGAAUCACUGGGCGUAAAGGGCGUGUAGGCGGUCAGGUAAGUGGGACGUGAAAUGCCUCGGCUCACCCGAGGACCUGCGUCCCAAACUGCUUGGCUUGAGUAUGGGAGAGGAUGUGGGAAUUCCUGGUGUAGCGGUGAAAUGCGUAGAUAUCAGGAGGAACACCGGUGGCGAAGGCGCACAUCUGGCCCAAUACUGACGCUGAUGCGCGAAAGCUAGGGGAGCAAACGGGAUUAGAUACCCCGGUAGUCCUAGCCGUAAACGGUGAUCACUAGGUGUUGGAGGCAUCGACCCCUCCAGUGCCGCAGCUAACGCAUUAAGUGAUCCGCCUGGGGAGUACGGCCGCA
This 887-nucleotide ribosomal RNA is filed under the name uncultured bacterium. Its description in RNAcentral is "bacterial SSU rRNA". It matches the Rfam family "Bacterial small subunit ribosomal RNA", at positions 30 to 890 of the family's 1533-position model. The record is from RNAcentral.